CCUCCCACCCUCCUUUGCUCUGGGGCGGUUCUGUGCGCCUCCUGUAGCGUCACUUCCGGCCAAGUCGGAGCGCGAAAAAAGGUCCCGAGCUUCAAUCUCAGAGUGUGUGGUGGUUGUCGUCCGCUGUUGUCCUCCUCUCCUUGUUAUCUCGGUACCGACUGUCCCGCUGCUGGUGCUGUAAAGGCGGCUUUUUUUGUUUGGUUCAACUAUGAUCUUUGUUCCAGGGACAGUUAGACCUUGGGAGCCAAAUUUCAUAAUUCCCCGGAACUCGGAUUGGAGGGCGCCGGGUGUGGAACGGCUUGAAAACCGGGACAUUUUUUUAUUGUUCUGUGCAACCCUGGAUCCCUUUGAAUACAAAAUGUAGUUGAAAGACUUGGUAGAAGUGACACUACUUCAUCAGAAAAAAAACUGGGGGAAAAAAGCCAGCUACACACUGAAAUGGAUUUAGAAAGAUAAGUAUUUGUUUAGAUUUUAAGCCAAAUGUACAUAGUUUUCAUCAGUAAUCCACAUUACCUUACUAGUCUUUGGAGUAAUUUUCUUACUCAUAAAUGUUUCAUUUCACAAAGAAUGUAAAACAAAAUGAGAUACCAUUGUACAUCUAUUAGAAUGGCUAAAGUCCAAAACACUGACACCACGAAGUGCCGGUGAGGAUGUAGAAUUAUAGGAACUCUCAUUCAUUGCUAGUGGGAACGCAAAAUUGUACAGCCACUUUGAAAGACAGCUUGGCAGUUUCUUACAAAACUAAACAUAUUGUUACCACAUGAUCUAGUAAUUGCUCCUCAAUAUUUACCCAAAUGUGUUGAAAACUUCUGUCCGCAUAAAAAUCUGCACACAGAUACUGAUAGCAACUUAUUUAUAAUUGCCAAAACUUGGAAGCCAGCAAGAUGUGCUUCAAUAGGUAAAGGGGUAAAUUGUGGUACGUCAAUACAAUGGAAUAUUAUCCAAUGCUAAAAAGAAAUGAGCUAUCAAGCCGUGAAAAGACAUGGAGUAAACUUAAAUGCAUAUUGCUACGUGGAAGACGUGAAUCUGAAAAAGUUAGAUGCUGUGUGAUUCCAAUUAUAUGAUAUUCUGAAAAGGGCAAAACUAUUGAGACAGUAAAAAGACCAGUAGUUGCCAGAGUUUGGGGCUGGAGGGAGAGGAAUAGGUGGAGCACAGGAUUUUUAAGACAGUAAAAUAAUUCUGUAUGAUAAUGCAAUAGUAGAUACAUGCCAUUAUACAUUUGUCAAAACCCAUAGAAUGUACACCACCACUAGUGAACCCUAAUAUAAACUAUGGACUUUGGGUGUUAAUGAUGUGUCACUGUUGGUUCAUCAUUUGUAGCAAAAGCACCACUCUGGUGGGGGAUGUUAAUAAUGGGGGAGGCUGUGAAUGUGUGGGGCAGUGUAUAUGGGAAAUCUUCGUACCUUCCUUUCAGUUUUGCUGUGAAUCUUAAACUGCUCUAAAAAAUAAAAUCUAUUAAAAAAAAAAAGAAAGUAUGAAAGCACUAAAUAAGCCUUUGGAUUUGGACAACAUGAGCCAACAUUUAUUGAGUGCUUACGUAUGAAUUAAAUGCUUUACAAACGUGUUAAACUCAUUUGAUGUUCACAAGUGCCAAAUGCGUCAGUACAGUUAUUACAAAUGAAUCCCAUUUUAGACAAGAACAAAAAAGAAGUGAAGGAAUGUGUCCAAGGGCACACAGCAAAUAAGUGGUAGAGUCAGAAUUAAAUCCUCCGCUCCAGAGCCUCUGCUCUAAACUACCCUUCUGCAGCUCACAAAAUACACUUGGGCAACAGUCUUUUAUAAUGAAAACAAAUUAUUAUAGCCAGUUUCUAGAGUCUUUACUGAACUGGAAGAUGGACAUGUUUGACCAAUUUAAAAGAAAUAAAUUCUAGAAGCAGCAUUUUAUUGCAUCUAACUUUAUUACCAAUUUGUGGUGCUCUCUGCAUCCUAUUGUUGUUAUGCUAUUUAUCAUUCAAUUUUUCAAUGAGUAUAUAAGUAAUACGAAAGCAAAACCAUGAGGCAGGAUAGUGCUGUGGUAUAGACAUUGGAGUCAGACCUGAGUGUGAAUUUGGCUUCACUAAUAAUGAACUAUCAGAGAAAUUAAGAAAAACAAUUCCAUUUACAAUUACAUCAAAAAGAAGAAAAUACCUAGGAAUAAAUUUAACCAAGGAGGUGAAAGACCUGUAUAUUGAAAAUGGCAAGGCAUUAAUGAAAGAAAUUGAAAGACACAAAUAAAUACAAAGAUAUUCCAUGCUUGUGGACUGGAAGAAUUAUUAAUAUUGUUAAAAUGUCCAUACUACCCAAAGCGAUACACAGAUUCAAUGCAAUCCCAGUAAAAAUUUCAAUGACAUUUUUCACAAAAAUAAAACAAUUCCAAAAUUUGUAUGGAAUCACAAGAGACCCCAAAUAGCCACAGCAAUCUUGAGAAAGAAGAACAAAGCAGGAGGUAUCACAUUUCCUGAUUUCAAACUAUAUUACAAAGCUAUAGUAGUUAAAAUAGUAUGGCAUUGGCAUAAAAACAGACACAUAGAUCAAUGGAACAGAAUAGAGAGCCCAGAAAUAAACCCACGCAUAUAUGGUCAAUUAAUUUAUGACAAGGGAGCCAAGAAUACACAAUGGAGAAAGGGCAGUCUUCAAUAAAUGGUGUUGCAAAAACUGGUCAGCGACUUGCAAAAGAAUGAAACUGGACCAUUAUCUUACACAAUACACAAAAAUUAACUCAAAAUGGAUUAAGGACUUGAACAUAAGACCUGAAACCAUAAAACUCCUAGAAGAGAAUAGGCAGUAAGAUCCUUGACAUGGAUCUUGGCAAUGGUUUUUUGACUCUAACACCAAAAGCAAAAGCAACAAAAGCAAAAUAAACAAGUGAGCCUACAUCAAACUAAAAAGCUUCUGCACAGCAAAGGGAACCAUCAACAAAAAGAAAAAGCAACCUCUUGAAUGGGAGAGAAUAUUUGCAAUCAUAUAUCAGAUAAGGGGCUAAUAUCCAAAAUAUAUGAAGAGGCUCAUACAACUCAAUAACAAAAACAUAAAUAACCUUAUUAAAAAAAUGGGCAGAAGAUCUCAACAGACAUUUUUCCAAAGAAGACAUACAGAUGGCCAACAGGUACAUAAAAAGAUGUUUAAUAUAACUAAUUAUCAGGGAAAUGCAAAUCAAAACCACGAUGAGAUAUCACCUCACACCUGUAAGAAUCGCUAUUAUCAAAAAGACAAGAUGUAAUAAUUACUGGUGAGGAUGUGGAGAAAAGGGAACCCUUGUGCACUGUUGGUGGAAAAAUAAACUGUUGCAGCCACUAUGGAAAACAGAAUGGAGUUUCCUCAAAAAAUUAAAAAUAGAACUACCACAUGACCCGGCAAUUCCACUUCUGGGUAUUUAUCUGAAGAAAACAAAAACACUAACUUGAAAAGAUAUAUGCACCCCAUAUUCACUGCAGCAUUAUUUACAAUAGCCAAGAUAUGGAAACAACCUAUGUGUCCAUUGAUGGAUGAAUGGGUAAAGAAAUUGUGGUAUAUAUAUGUAUAUAUAUAUAUAUGUAUAUAUGUGUAUACACUCACAAUGGAUAUUAUUCAGACAUAAAAAAGAAUGAAAUCUUGCCCCUUGCAACAACAUGGAUGGAACUUGAGGGCAUUAUGACAUGAAAUAAGUCAAACAAAUACUAUGAUCUCUCUUACAUGUGAAUCUAAAAAGAAGCAAACCAAGCAUAGAGACAGAGAACAUAUUGGUGGUUACCAGAGGUGGGG
This is a long non-coding RNA of Equus caballus (horse), 3720 nucleotides long. The record is from Ensembl. Lineage: Eukaryota; Metazoa; Chordata; Mammalia; Perissodactyla; Equidae.